RNAcentral lists this ribosomal RNA (459 nucleotides) under uncultured bacterium. RNAcentral describes it as "partial 16S ribosomal RNA". It matches the Rfam family "Bacterial small subunit ribosomal RNA", at positions 338 to 795 of the family's 1533-position model. The record is from RNAcentral.
CCUACGGGGGGCAGCAGUGAGGAAUAUUGGUCAAUGGGCGGGAGCCUGAACCAGCCAAGCCGCGUGAGGGAAGAAGGUACAGCGUAUCGUAAACCUCUUUUGUCAGGGAACACAGGCGGGGACUAGUCCCCGGAUGAGGGUACCUGAAGAAAAAGCAUCGGCUAACUCCGUGCCAGCAGCCGCGGUACUACGGAGGAUGCGAGCGUUACCCGGAUUGAUGGGGGUUAAGGGGUGCGCAGGCGGCCGGUUAAGUCAGCGGGAAAAGCCCGGGGCUCAACCCAGGCGAGCCGUUGAAACUGGCAGGCUGGAGUGGGAGAGAGGUACGCGGAAUGCGCGGUGUAGGGGUGAAAUGCUUAGAUAUCGCGCAGAACCCCGGUUGCGAAGGCAGCGUACCGGCUCCACACUGACGCUGAGGCACGAAAGCGUGGGUAUCGAACAGGAUUAGAUACCCGAGUAGUC